CUUUCCACAAGAGACCAAAAUGACACAGAAAUUACCAACUAUAGGUCACCGUACGGUCGUCAACAAUGAAUAAAGCCCAUACCGCAUAGUCAUCUUUAAAAUGUCCCGAAAUAACAAUGGAAAACGACUUCGGAAAACUAACGGCUUAUUUAUGUACAAAAAAUUACCGAUAAACAAAUAUGUAACACAUACACAAACAACCACUGAAUAAGUAUACAAG
Molecule: long non-coding RNA, 220 nt
Filed under: Mytilus galloprovincialis (Mediterranean mussel)
Lineage: Eukaryota; Metazoa; Mollusca; Bivalvia; Mytilida; Mytilidae
Source: RNAcentral